AACGCUGGCGGCGUGCCUAAUACAUGCAAGUCGAGCGAACUGAUUAGAAGCUUGCUUCUAUGACGUUAGCGGCGGACGGGUGAGUAACACGUGGGCAACCUGCCUGUAAGACUGGGAUAACUUCGGGAAACCGAAGCUAAUACCGGAUAGGAUCUUCUCCUUCAUGGGAGAUGAUUGAAAGAUGGUUUCGGCUAUCACUUACAGAUGGGCCCGCGGUGCAUUAGCUAGUUGGUGAGGUAACGGCUCACCAAGGCAACGAUGCAUAGCCGACCUGAGAGGGUGAUCGGCCACACUGGGACUGAGACACGGCCCAGACUCCUACGGGAGGCAGCAGUAGGGAAUCUUCCGCAAUGGACGAAAGUCUGACGGAGCAACGCCGCGUGAGUGAUGAAGGCUUUCGGGUCGUAAAACUCUGUUGU
This 419-nucleotide ribosomal RNA is filed under the name Bacillus sp. (in: firmicutes). RNAcentral's name for it is "bacterial SSU rRNA". It matches the Rfam family "Bacterial small subunit ribosomal RNA", at positions 32 to 439 of the family's 1533-position model. The record is from RNAcentral. Lineage: Bacteria; Bacillati; Bacillota; Bacilli; Caryophanales; Bacillaceae.